Molecule: long non-coding RNA, 357 nt
Filed under: Homo sapiens (human)
Lineage: Eukaryota; Metazoa; Chordata; Mammalia; Primates; Hominidae
Description: HSALNT0314014
Source: RNAcentral
GAUUCUGUAAUCCCAGUGAGCCACCGCGCCUGGCCCAUAUGCUUCAGGUGACUACAGCCAGCUCCAGAGGUUCCAAAGAUCUUAAAGAUGUCCCAGAAAAGUUCUAGAGUACUAUCAGAUCUCACACUUUGCCUUGGAAGCUGUCAUUCCCCUCCAUUGGCCCCACAACUGCAGUAUAAUCUUCAGUGACAGGAGAAAAUCGACCUUGUUUGUACAGAAGUCUCAGCAGGAAUAGGCAGAUGCCUGUUUUUGCUGCCAAGGAUGGAGGAUUGGAAUGGGCCCAUUAUAUAUUUUGAGGCUUUGAAGAAAAGUCUCAGGAUAUGUUUUCCCAUUAAAAUACUGUUAUAAACAAUUAGA